UCUCUGGUAGUAUAUCGGUUAGUACACCCGCCUGUCAUGGCUUAGUCAGUCAGCGGUGCGCGGGAAAGCGGGGUUCGACUCCCCGCCAGAGAG
Molecule: non-coding RNA, 93 nt
Organism: Pisolithus tinctorius
Lineage: Eukaryota; Fungi; Basidiomycota; Agaricomycetes; Boletales; Pisolithaceae
Source: the annotation of a GenBank genome assembly